ACUGUAAUACUAAUAUAAGUUAUGGCUGAACCAUAUUCCGAAGACACUUCAUAUCCAACUUCGAAGGCGAUUCACGUAACUUUUUUUCAAAUAGGUUUACUUCAUAGACUAUAUAUUAUAUGGACUGCCAACUCUACGCACUAAGCCUAUAUUUUUCAAUAAACAUGUCCCGUUCACGGAGGCGUCCUUGGUUGCAAGGUAAAUUGACUUCCGGUAGAUUUUUUUUUACUACAUAAAGAAACCAUUCCCGAAGAUUUUUACCACCACUUUUACAGCAAAUCAUGAAUGAAAACUGAAUUGUUAUAGAAGAUGUUACAAAGGAGCAUACUACUUCCACAAACCUGAUUUGAUUGUCACUAACUUUCAAAUUGAAGGGGAUCUACUACAACUGCUCAUGAAUUUUGAGAUUGUACAGCAAAUAGAGGAACAAAUUUUAUCUGCUUCCACUUAGACAAACAGCAUGGAAAUGUGCUAUUGUAAUGAGUAGAAGAUAUUUGUCAUUUAGAGUAUCAUGUGUCAAUGACUUAUGAAAACAAAAUGCAACAGCAAAUUAUCAGUCAGCACAUUUUAAGAUGAGGAAAAGAACAAUAUAAGCUAAAUUCAUUGAUGCAUUAUUUAUACAAAAAUGUAUAGUCAACCCAGUCAUCAGUCCAUUUUUUUAUGAAGCCAGUUACAGUUACAAUGAAGGGAUGAAAUUUGAGAUAAUAUUCUGUUUGUUUUAUGAAAUGAGAAUAGACCUACAUUAGAAAUUGAAAUG
Long non-coding RNA from Biomphalaria glabrata, 757 nucleotides. RefSeq lists it as uncharacterized. Lineage: Eukaryota; Metazoa; Mollusca; Gastropoda; Planorbidae. The transcript is spliced from 3 exons. The record is from RefSeq and is a predicted model, not a curated record.